GCUACAGGGAGCUCUAUCGCGUUUUGGCGGAGAUUUGCCGGCAGAAUGAGGAAAAUCCGGACAACGUAGAGCACCGCACCAUCUAACGGAUGGGUCCCGUUAUAUGACGGGAACAGAAAGUGUCGCAGAAACUAUACCGCCUUGUUACGGUGAGGUAAGGGUGAAAACGUGCGGUAAGAGCGCACGUCUUGUGAUGGUAACAUCGCAGGAGGAUAAACCUUGCGGGUUGAAAUGCCACGUAUAUUUCGCUCUACCCUCGGGUAGGAA
RNAcentral lists this RNase P RNA (267 nucleotides) under Saprospiraceae bacterium. RNAcentral describes it as "partial RNase P RNA component class A". It matches the Rfam family "Bacterial RNase P class A", at positions 1 to 266 of the family's 367-position model. Rfam says of the family: Ribonuclease P (RNase P) is a ubiquitous endoribonuclease, found in archaea, bacteria and eukarya as well as chloroplasts and mitochondria. Lineage: Bacteria; Pseudomonadati; Bacteroidota; Saprospiria; Saprospirales; Saprospiraceae. The record is from RNAcentral.